RNAcentral lists this ribosomal RNA (497 nucleotides) under uncultured bacterium. Its description in RNAcentral is "partial 16S ribosomal RNA". It matches the Rfam family "Bacterial small subunit ribosomal RNA", at positions 28 to 507 of the family's 1533-position model. The record is from RNAcentral.
GAUGAACGCUGGCGGCGUGCCUAAUACAUGCAAGUCGAGCGAACAGACGAGGAGCUUGCUCCUCUGACGUUAGCGGCGGACGGGUGAGUAACACGUGGAUAACCUACCUAUAAGACUGGGAUAACUUCGGGAAACCGGAGCUAAUACCGGAUAAUAUAUUGAACCGCAUGGUUCAAUAGUGAAAGACGGUUUUGCUGUCACUUAUAGAUGGAUCCGCGCCGCAUUAGCUAGUUGGUAAGGUAACAGCUUACCAAGGCAACGAUGCGUAGCCGACCUGAGAGGGUGAUCGGCCACACUGGAGCUGAGACACGGUCCAGACUCCUACGGGAGGCAGCAGUAGGCAAUCUGCCGCAAUGGGCGAAAGCCUGACGGAGCAACGCCGCGUGAGUGAUGAAGGCCUUCGGAUCGUAAAACUCUGCUAUUAGGGAAGAACAAAUGUGUAAGUAACUAUGCACGUCGUGACGGUACCUAAUCAGAAAGCCACGGCUAACUACGUG